UACCGAGCUCGGACAUAGCUGUUACUUUCGCCCACUCAACUGUAAAGAGUCCACGGGUCCUCCUCUGCUCUUGCUCCCCCCCCCGCGCAAAACGAAAAUGCAUCCGUUUCUACUCCAUUCCCUUCUCAGUGCUGAGCUCUGUUGGCGCCAGUGGAGAAGGAAGCACCUUCCCAUGCAGUUUUCUGCUGCUGCUGAGAAGACCUACCUGGAAUCUGACCAGGGCCUCCAGACCUGUGUCCACCACCAGAUGUCUAUUGCAGCCCUGAAGCUGGUUUAAUAGCCAUUUCCACUCCCCCGGGGAAAUUUGGAGGCUGUACUUCUGUCCAAGGGGAGCUAAAACUUCUCAUCAAGGCUGGAGAUCUGCUGGCCACAGCUUCUUCACAGCAAAUCCUCCUCCUCCUC
This is a long non-coding RNA of Gekko japonicus, 402 nucleotides long. RefSeq lists it as uncharacterized. The record is from RefSeq and is a predicted model, not a curated record. The transcript is spliced from 3 exons. NCBI's taxonomy places the organism in Eukaryota, Metazoa, Chordata, Lepidosauria, Squamata, Gekkonidae.